UAGAGUUUGAUCCUGGCUCAGGAUGAACGCUGGCGGCGCGCCUAACACAUGCAAGUCGAGCGGCACCCCUCCUCGGAGGGAAGCGAGCGGCGAACGGCUGAGUAACACGUGACCAACCUGCCCUGCGCACGGGGACAGCCGCGGGAAACCGCGGGUGAUACCCGGUGGCCCCCUGGGACCGCAUGGCCCCAGGGGCAUAGCUCCGGCGGCGCGGGAUGGGGUCGCGGCCCAUCAGGUAGUUGGUAGGGUGACGGCCUACCAAGCCGACUACGGGUAGCCGGGUUGAGAGACCGACCGGCCAGAUCGGGACCGAGACACGGCCCAGACUCCUACGGGAGGCAGCAGUGGGGAAUCUUGCGCAAUGGGGGGAACCCUGACGCAGCGACGCCGCGUGCGGGAUGGAGGCCUUCGGGUCGUGAACCGCUUUCAGCAGGGACGAGACUGACGGUACCUGCAGAAGAAGCCCCGGCUAACUACGUGCCAGCAGCCGCGGUAAUAC
Molecule: ribosomal RNA, 499 nt
Filed under: uncultured bacterium
Lineage: Bacteria
Description: bacterial SSU rRNA
Rfam family: Bacterial small subunit ribosomal RNA
Source: RNAcentral